Arachis stenosperma is the source of this 2494-nucleotide RNA transcript. It is a transcript of the gene named translocon at the outer membrane of chloroplasts 64, with no coding region annotated. The record is from RefSeq and is a predicted model, not a curated record. NCBI's taxonomy places the organism in Eukaryota, Viridiplantae, Streptophyta, Magnoliopsida, Fabales, Fabaceae. The transcript has 14 exons.
GAGAAGAAUAAGAAAGGCGGCGGAUGCGAGGCGAGGGGAAGAGAUAGAAGAAGAAUAAAGAAGAGGAAGUAGUCCCCAUUCUCAUAUCCACAAUUCACAAAUUAGUUAGGCUUGGAUGAUCAGUUUGGUCCCUGUUAGCAUAAUACGCAGCUGAAUAGCUAUUACUGUUAGGUUAGGCUAGGCUGGAUUGCCAAUACUAUCUUUGUUUGUUCCUUGUACAUUAGGAUUGAUGGCUUCUCAAUCGGCGAAUGUUUGGGUGCUGCUCGGGCUGGGUAUCGCCGGCAUCUUGCUUCUUACCAGGAAGCUCAAGCACACUGUCAGACAGGAUUUGGGCGCUUUCAUUCAGAAGCUUCAGCUGCUCCCUCCGCCCCAGCCCGCUCCUCCCAAGGCUCCUCAUCCUCUCACCGCCCUCACUUUCGCCCUUUCCGACCUAUUUGACAUAGAGGGACACGUCUCCACUUUCGGGCAUCCUGAUUGGGCACGCACCCAUGAAGCUGCUUCUUCCACUUCUCCCGUAGUCUCCGCUCUCGUUGAAGGCGGUGCGACCUGCCUUGGUACCACUCUUGUCGAUGACCUAGCAUACGGUAUCAGUGGUGAAAAUAAGCAUUAUGGAACGCCAACCAAUCCUUCUGUGCCUGCUCGUGUACCUGGUGGAUCCUCUAGUGGGGCUGCUGUGGCUGUUGCCGCCAAUUUUGUGGAUUUUUCAUUGGGUAUUGAUACUGUUGGUGGGGUGAGAGUGCCUGCUGGGUUUUGUGGCAUUCUAGGAUUUCGACCUUCAUAUGGUGCUGUUCCUCAUGUGGGAAUUAUACCUAUUUCAACAAGUCUAGAUACUAUUGGUUUGUUUGCUAAGGAUCCUCAUAUUUUGUGUCGUGUUGGCCAUGUACUCUUACAAGCACCAUUUGUAACUCACCGGAAUCCCCGGCAGAUAGUUGUAGCUGAUGAUUGUUUUCAGCAUCUAAAUGUUCCUCUUGAAAGGAGUUUGCAGGUGGUGAUCAAAGCCACUGAGAAGCUUUUUGGAAGGCAAGUAUUGAAGCACAUAAAUCUUGAGGACUAUAUAAGUGCUAAAGUUCCUAGCUUGAAGGAGCACUCUAACCAGAAUACAAAUGGUGAACUGAAAUCUUCUUCAUUAAAAUUACUUGCCAACAUUGCUCAAUUCCUACAAAGGCAUGAAUUCAAACUUAAGCAUGAUGAAUGGACGAACACAGUAAACCCCGAUCUUCAUCCAGCUGUCUCAGCACAAUUACAUGGAAAGUUUGAGGUAUCCGAUGCAGAGAUAGAAAAGUCCAAAUCUGUUAGAAGUGACAUGCGUGCUGCUCUAAAUAUGCUUUUGAAGGAUGAUGGAAUUUUGGUGAUCCCAACUGUAGCUGAUCCUCCUCCAAAAUUGGGUGGGAAGGAGAUCCAGUCAGAGGAUUAUCAAAGCCGUGCAUUUAGACUGCUUAGUAUUGCUAGCUUGUCAGGUUGCUGUCAGGUCACUAUUCCACUAGGAUUUUAUGAUAAGUGUCCUGUUUCAGUGUCCUUAAUAGCUCGUCAUGGUAAUGAUCUCUUUCUACUGGAGACUCUAGAAACCAUGUAUACAACUCUUCAAGAGCAGGCAGAUGUUGCUUCCAAGGCUAAAUCAUCAAGAAAUGUUGUCAGUAAGGAAGAGUCUGCUGAAAUAGCAAAAGAGAAGGUCCUCUCAUCACCAUGGGUAACCUCAAAAUAUUCUUUGGAAACCAGGCCUACAAAGAUAAGCAGUGGCAGAAAGCCAUUGGGUUUUAUUCAGAAGCUAUCAAACUUAGUGGCAAUAAUGCAACAUACUACAGUAAUAGGGCUCAGGCUUAUCUAGAACAUGGGAGUUAUCUCCAAGCUGAGGCAGACUGUACAAAAGCAAUUAACCUUGACAAAAAGAAUGUAAAGGCCUAUUUCCGUAGAGGCACAGCUCGAGAGAUGCUAGGCUACUACAAGGAUGCAAUUGAUGAUUUUAAAUAUGCCCUUGUGCUUGAGCCAACGAACAAAAGGGCAGCUGCAGCUGCUGAAAGGCUGAGGAAGCUAUUCCAGUAGGCUUAUGGCUGUGAAAUUUGAACACAAGGUCGAAGAAGGACAAAAGAAAAGGGGUUGGGGACUUGGGGGUAGGGAGUAAGUGAUCUUAAUGGUCUUUGUAGGGAUGGACAGUAAUACCCCAUAACCAUUUAGGCCUUGAAAUGAUUGAUUGGUAUGCGGUCCUAGUUGCAGUGCGAUAAUCACACAGGAGUAAUUUGAUAUGUGGUUUCUUGCGGAAAAAAUGAUGAUGAUUCUUUUGUUGUUCACGGCAAAGGCUAAUUAUAGACGUUGAAACUUGAAAACGUGUAUUCUUAGGUGUUAUUGACACAGUGACGUGUUAUUUCUAUUUGCUAGAAGGAUCCCCAAUUUUGACCACGGUUAAUUUAGUUGUAUUGUAAUAUAGUAUCAGAUAUUAGUCAAGUAAGUUGGAUGCUUUUUACCAAUCAAUAAUUCUAUGUUGCUUAUUGUGCAUCUG